UAUGGUUGGGUCCUUCAGGACAUUGAAGGAUGUCACUCGUGGGGCAUGGUCGGCUCCCUGGUCUGUGCCUGUUCCCUGAGCCAGGACUUUGAUUUCAGCGUUCCUUUCUCUAAAGCCACGGCCACUGCAGCCCAGCAGUGACUCAAGCAGAUGGCUGUUGGUGACAAGCCUCUUCUGAUUGGUAAUAAAAAUACCAGAAGCUACACUGCAUUGUGUACAAAUACGUGAGGCUAUUGCAGAUUCCUUUGUAUCUCUAGAUUCUAUUUUGAGAGCGGGUUGAUCUUCUCCAUGCAGAACCCUCACAGAAUGAGCAAUCACGCCAGGUCUGGUUUGCUGCCUCUACUUCCUCAUUUCCACUCUGAUUUCAGAAAGGGCAGAAGUUUCAAGCUGUACAUCAAAACCUGUUUCUUCUAUCUGAGCACAGAGCUUGUCCUCAUUCCGGGCUCCCUUUGAAGUUGGGUGUGUGCCUGUGUGGCCAAGUUCUGAUGGGUACAAACUUCAAGGUCAAGGUUUUUAAGAAGUAGAGAGAUCUCAUCUGCAUUCUCUCCUUUUACCAGCCGAAUGUGGACAAUGAAGAUAAGGCUCUAGGGAACAGUGGAGACACAAGAUAGAAAGAGCCCUGGGUCUUCAAAUCACUGGACAGAGGAAAGUGUCACGCCAACCAGGGACACAUGCCUUGGGUUGUUAGAUGGGUAGAAAUAAGUUUCUAUUAUGUUUGAGCCCUUAUACAGCUGUGGAUCUACUUGUUACAGCAGCCAGUAUCACCAAAUGAAGUUAAAGGUCCUUCCCUGGAAAGAGAGUGGAUGGAUCUUCUCACCCAGAACCUCUUACCUCAGGGGACAAAGAGCAGUGCAGGGGAGGCUCGGAUGUCGCAGGCCAGGAAACAGGUAGUCCCAGGAGCUAAAGCCCUGGGACAGAGAAGGAGCACCAAUAGGUACAGGAACUCAGCCCACAGGAACUCCAAUCCCGGUUCUCUGUCUUCCAACUUCUAUGCAUGCUUGUGUCUAUGCCUUUGUGCAAUGAGGAGUCCAUUUCUUAAGUUGUACCAGAGAAAUUAGUCAACACAGAGGCUUUUUUCCAAAUGCAGAAAACUAACAAAAUAGAGAAAAUCCAUAAAAGUUUGCUUUGACAAUAUGAAGAUAAUAUGAACAAAGAAUUACAGCCAUUAUGUGAACUUCUCAUUUUGUCUAGUUACUAUGCAGCACAAUAAGAAGACUUAUCAUUAAAUAUGUCAGAUUUGC
Molecule: long non-coding RNA, 1241 nt
Organism: Leopardus geoffroyi (Geoffroy's cat)
Lineage: Eukaryota; Metazoa; Chordata; Mammalia; Carnivora; Felidae
Exons: 2
Source: RefSeq, a predicted model, not a curated record